RNAcentral lists this transfer RNA (85 nucleotides) under Felis catus (domestic cat). It matches the Rfam family "tRNA". From Rfam's summary of the family: Transfer RNA (tRNA) molecules are approximately 80 nucleotides in length. Their secondary structure includes four short double-helical elements and three loops (D, anti-codon, and T loops). The record is from Rfam by way of RNAcentral. Lineage: Eukaryota; Metazoa; Chordata; Mammalia; Carnivora; Felidae.
GCCUGGGUGGCUCAGUUGGUUGGGCAUCUGACUUCAGCUCAGGUCAUGAUCUCACAGUCCGUGAGUUUGAGUCCCAUAUCAGGCU